UACAGAGGGUGCGAGCGUUACUCGGAAUUACUGGGCGUAAAGCGCGCGUAGGCGGCUUUGCAAGUCGGCUGUGAAAUCCCCAGGCUUAACCUGGGAACUGCAUUCGAGACUGCAUUGCUAGAGUAUGGGAGAGGGAAGUGGAAUUUCCGGUGUAGCGGUGAAAUGCGUAGAUAUCGGAAGGAACAUCAGUGGCGAAAGCGACUGCCUGGACCAAUACUGACGCUCAGGUGCGAAAGCGUGGGGAGCAAACGGG
This 253-nucleotide ribosomal RNA is filed under the name uncultured bacterium. Its description in RNAcentral is "partial 16S ribosomal RNA". It matches the Rfam family "Bacterial small subunit ribosomal RNA", at positions 524 to 776 of the family's 1533-position model. The record is from RNAcentral.